RNAcentral lists this ribosomal RNA (236 nucleotides) under uncultured bacterium. RNAcentral's name for it is "partial 16S ribosomal RNA". It matches the Rfam family "Bacterial small subunit ribosomal RNA", at positions 1264 to 1500 of the family's 1533-position model. The record is from RNAcentral.
GGAGCAAAACUCAAAAAAUAAGUCUCAGUUCGGAUUGAAGGCUGAAAUUCGCCUUCAUGAAGCCGGAAUUGCUAGUAAUGGCAGGUCAGCAUACUGCCGUGAAUACGUUCCCGGGCCUUGUACACACCGCCCGUCACACCAUGAGAGUUGGGAAUACCCGAAGCCUGUGAGCUAACUUUUAGAGGCAGCAGUCGAAGGUAGAAUCAAUGAUUGGGGUGAAGUCGUAACAAGGUAGC